Drosophila mauritiana is the source of this 605-nucleotide long non-coding RNA. RefSeq lists it as uncharacterized. Lineage: Eukaryota; Metazoa; Arthropoda; Insecta; Diptera; Drosophilidae. The transcript is spliced from 6 exons. The record is from RefSeq and is a predicted model, not a curated record.
CGCUCGGCAGUACGUUUUGAACUCGGCCAAAAGCAGGCGGCUAAGAGUUUUGCGUGGCGCGCAAGCACAUAGUUCCCCGCUCGGACGUGAUUUCGCCCCUGGUACAUGAAUACAUGUGAAUGUGUACAUAUGUGCGCACGCAGCUCCAAACAACAACAACAACUAUUGGACUCUGCAGUGGCUGUUUCAAUUGAAUCGCCAGUCGCUUGAAUUGUUUUUUUUUAUAUGUAAUUGAAUGCCGAAAAACAACUGUAGCCGCGGUCAAGACAAAACUCUGUAAAAAAAGCAUCUGUGACAGCAACAAACAGAGCUUCGAAUUUUGUUGUUUUUAAUUUAGACACCAGAGAAUUCGAAGAAGGAAACCUUACUGCUUUGAAAGAUACCAACGAGCAAAACAUCGACCAAUAUCCCACUCAGUAAAGGAAUUUCAAAGGACCUUAUUUUUAAAAGUGACAAUAACUUAACUAUAACCAAUCGCUAAUGAAAUUGGACACAUCCGAAGACCUCGCCCGAUGUGCGUGGGAGCUGGCGCAUCGCCUUUGAAUCGAAUUCAGAGACAUGGUGAGUCAUUGACCAGAGACGAAGAAACCCGCGUAGGAGUUCGC